GCUGCAACCACGCCAAAUAUGGUGGGCAACAAUUUAGAAGAAAAUUCAAAGCUUAGGACACUUUCAUCACGUUGCUGCCUAUAAUUGUGUUUGUAUGUAUAGACAAUUUCGUUGUAGCUGGAAUUCAACACAUCUGGGCGAUAUUAAAUCACACACAAAACGUGGUUAAUUUGAUUGGAGGCGAUUAGCGAAUUUGCUAUCGCUGAAUUCACAGGAAAUUGUUACAAGUUCUUGGAAUUAGAACAAGCUCUGAAACAAAGAUUCUUGCAUUUGGAGUUCCGGUACCGGCGUGUUGGCGGUCUGAGGUUGUCACCUCACCUGUCUUAGCCUGUGUCUGGCCUGUGUAUGUAACAGGAUAAUGAAUGUACCUCAGGGUACCUCAUGGGAUAUAGAUUUGUUUCCCGAAAUUCGGACCCAUCUGGAAACAAAACUGAGAGAAAGCGAAGCCUCAGUCCACAAGAUGUUCAUCCUUAUCAAGACUCCGACUUCGAAGCGAGCGAUUUCCGAGGUGAAGAUAAGGACAAAAAAUCCAAAGUCGCAUUUGGAUUUCGACUUCGACGAUGAUGCCCUGAGCAAAGAAUACGAAAAAUUAAACCGUCUGUCCGAGAUGCUAACGAAGAGUAAAUAUCAGUUAAAAUCGAAUGAUAAAGCAACAAAUGAGCGCUUGGAUUGACUGGAAAACGAUGUGAAGAAAAUCUCCAAGGCAAUUGAUAAUUUGAAAGAUGCAGUAAAAAAGUUAACUGCUGUAAAAACCACUUUAGUUUUACAGGAUGACAAAUUGCCUAAGAAGUCAUUAAUAAGUCCAACUACAGCUAAAAAGGAGACUGAAAACGCAGCAAUGUGGCAGAAUGAGGUUAAUUUAAUGAAUAUGAAAGCUCAACCAAAAGAGCCAGCAAAUGUGCAAUUAAUUUGCUUAACCACUUGUGUAGUCAAAGCGAACUCCAGGACAGGAUUUUGUUUAAAUCGAAAAAAUCAACGAAAACACCCCUAGAUGCCGAGGGGUCACUAAACUGUUUGCAGUUAUUGCCACUUAAAACACAAAAAAAGCCGCGCAAAAGGGAUUGGUACAAAAUCAUUGAUGUGACGUCACAAUAGCAACUGGUUUGACUCAUUCAUAUUACAAAAAGAAGAAAGAUGGCGGCGCAAAAAAUGCACGCAAAUAUAAAUAUGCCCAAUAGAUGGAUUGUUGGGGGUUGCUCUAAUACCUCUAAUCCGGAAAAGGAAUUUUUCUUCAUUUUAUACCGUUUCCUGGUGACGAAAGGCCAGAACCAAAAAAAAAGACGAAAGCAGAGGAUUGAUUUCGUGCUGUUGAAGAGGGAAAAUUGUAUCUGACUCCAAAUUUUACAAGAAAGAUUUCACACAAAUGUUUUCUGGUUUCUCUGGUGAGGUAUAGCGGUUAGCCACCGAUGAAAAUGGCGUUGUGCAUGGCAGCCCCUAAGUGUCACGAAGUAACAACGGAAGUCAAACCUUCGUCUGCAAGAGCUAGGAGAAUGAUAAGUUCACAAACAACGUUUCGACUGGGACAGACGGUUGUGUUGGUUGUGUCGGUUGUGCGUAUUUACUAAAAGAAAAACGGAAGACUGGGAACAAGUAUAUAGCGCUUAAAAGCAAAUACGAUGAAUUGGUGUUAAAGUUAAACAUUCCAAAGAUCUCUAUGCAAUAUUCCUUCUCCGUGAAGAAAUGCAAGUCCAGCAAAGAUAUCUUUGAUCAUUUUUCGCCCAUGCCUUUGCAAAUGAUCAGUGGAAAGAGAACAAACGUACUUAUCCAGUGUCUUUUCACAGAGAUCAAGAAUGAGCUACUUCACUGCCGUCUUGCAAAAUCCCGACAUAGACAAACGUCCCUGAAGAGCCACAUCCAAGAGUGAAGGAUUUUUGCGCAGA
This 1880-nucleotide long non-coding RNA is filed under the name Dendronephthya gigantea. Its description in RNAcentral is "uncharacterized LOC114539406, transcript variant X1". Lineage: Eukaryota; Metazoa; Cnidaria; Anthozoa; Malacalcyonacea; Nephtheidae. The record is from RNAcentral.